GCUUAAAAGACAAAAGUCCAGCCCAUUCCAUUCACCGAAGGUGUCUUUCUCGGCGGUCGAUUUGCCAGAGCUAUUGCCUCUUCCUGUUCAGCUCCAUCACCAUCAAUUCGAUCGUCCACCGUCUCCGAUCAGUUACGGCCGCCGUCAAAUCUCCCUCGCCGGCCACCACAGCCUCCGCCGUAACGGAGCGGAGCAUCGACGCUCAUCACCGCCGAUCGGACUUCUCUCGUGCUCUUUCUCUCUCGUCUUACGCAUUUGGAGACUCCUUUUAAGCUCACGGUUGCGCGCGUGAGAGCCCGAGGAACCGAGUCAAGCAAGAACGCGCGCACGGACCGAGAAAUCCAUCGCCUAGCUUUGUCUUCAUGAGAUUCUCGAAGUCUUUUAGUGUCUUUCAUUUAUUAGCAAGAUACGGUCGAUUCAUUGAGACUCAAUCAGUCGAUUGUUCUAUAUUGCCUUUUGCCGAAAGCUUCAAAUUGUUAUCUCAAUUGUUGUCUAUUAUUUGGUCUCAGAUUCGUCGAUUCCUCUCUAGUAACUUUAAGCUGGGUUUUUCAUGUUACAUUCCUCGCCAAUUGAUGGGAGUUCCUGUUUGUAUAACACCUCGCCGUUCAUGCUCACCACCCGCUCGAUGUUUUGCCUCGGAGAUGACAAUGAUGAAUUCAUUGAUCAAUAAUAGUAUCUUGCUGCGAUGCUAGUUGGCAUCCGUCAAAUGCCACAUGUUUGCUGCUAUUGCCUUUCGGUAUGUUCAGGCUUAGCUUGGUGUUGACAUGCUCCCUUCAUCGAUUGCAAGCAUCCUUAUGUCAAACUUUUGCUCUCGAUUCCAUAGAUGGUCUGUAGUCCUAGUGAAACAAUCCAUAUAAUUAGCAAUGAAGUUUCUCUAUCUUCAAGUUGCGUUGGCUGGAUUAGUCGGCUUCUGCUCCAUAUCUUGGAGUUCUCUGAUGGACUUCUGCUCAUUGAAGAAGUCGAUUGCCCGGGCAUAGGUGUCUUGGAAUUGUAGGUGCACGAUUCUGCUAGCCAUAGCAGGAUAUCUGACUAGGAGAUAGCGUACAUCAAGACGAACGCCUGCUAAUUCUAGAUCUCGGCCUGAUGUUGUUUUGAAUGUGGGCAUCUUCCAGACUUGUACGUUCUUUGGGGUGGCAGCACGGUUCAAUAGCAAUGUGCCAAGUUAUAACACUCCAGUCGAAAUCCAGAUCAAGAAUCCAUUUGGAAGUACCCAACGUUUUAGCCCAAUCGAGUAUGCAACUGCCUCUAAAGG
Molecule: long non-coding RNA, 1252 nt
Filed under: Eucalyptus grandis
Lineage: Eukaryota; Viridiplantae; Streptophyta; Magnoliopsida; Myrtales; Myrtaceae
Description: long non-coding RNA (EGRA_LNC006138)
Source: RNAcentral